GGAUGGAUCAUUAACAAUCCUACCUUUUCUAACUUUGUGAACUGUUUCCCUGAACGACAGACAGUCAGCGGCUGCUUGCCUGCCUGCCAGCUUGCCUUCCGGGAGGCCUACAGGCUUCCUGGCGUGGGUUUGACCAGGCAAGACUGCUGCUGAUUGUCAGUCACGCUAUCUGCGUAUUUAAACCACUUAACUUACUGACAGUCCAAGUAACGGCAAGAGAAACAACUUUUAGCAACGGAUCUCUUGGCUCUCGCAACGAUGAAGAACGCAGCGAAAUGCGAAAUGUAAUGUGAAUUGCAGAUACCGUGAAUCAUCAAAUCUUUGAACGCACAUAGCACUGCCUGUGCUCCAGGCAGUAUACCUGUUUGAGUGUCAGUCGCCAUCUCCUCCUCGGGGCUAGUAGUCUCGUGGACGAGCAGCAGCUGGGUGAUCAUUGAUUGACCACAGUGUUGGUCGGUGCCACCUUAAAACAAGUGAGUUUCCAGACGCCAAUUAGCGACUGGCAGCCUUUGGCAGAGUUGAGGGCAUUGCCCAUCAUCAUACCUGUCUUGGAAGGAUGUCAGAAGCUGGUGUCGGGCAACCAACCACCACCAAACUAAGAACUUGUGUUCUUCAGUACUAGUACAGGCACGCUUGUGUGCUUGUGAAUUUGACCUCAAAUCAGGUAAGAAAACCCGCUGAACUUAAGCAUAUUAAUAAGCGGAGGAAAAGAAACUAACCAGGAUUCCCUUAGUAACGGCGAGUGAAGAGGGAACAGCUCAAAUUUGAAAUCUCCUUGGAGAAUUGUAGUUUGGAGAAGUGUCAUUGAUGGUGGCCUGGGUCCAAGUCCCUUGGAACAGGGCGUCAGAGAGGGUGAGAAUCCCGUCUUUGGCCUGGCAGUCACCACACUGUAAUGCACUUUCAAAGAGUCGGGUUGUUUGGGAAUGCAGCCCAAAGCGGGUGGUAUAUUCCAUCUAAAGCUAAAUACUGGCGAGAGACCGAUAGCAAACAAGUACCGUGAGGGAAAGAUGAAAAGAACUUUGAAAAGAGAGUUAAACAGUACGUGAAAUUGCUAAAAGGGAAACACUUGAAAUCAGUGCUGGGGGCGGGACUUGUCCUGUCUCCUGGUCAACAUCAGUUUGUGACCGAGUAUACCAGUGCAGGAAGGUAGCUCCGCCUGGAGUGUUAAGCCUGCACAAGGGCUCGGCCGUGGACUGAGGCCUGUAGUACAUGCUUCUGGCUGGUGAACCUGGUGCUGCCGGCGGGUGGUGACUUGGACAGCGUGCUGACCAAGCGCUUGACUGCUGGUACACACUGGGCUAGCACAAAUGUACUUUGGAUGUUGACGAAAUGGUUUUAAGUGACCCGUCUUGAAACACGGACCAAGGAGUCUAACAAAUGUGCGAGUGUUUGGGUUGCAAGCCCAGGCGCGGAAUGAAAGUAAUGAGGUGGGAUCCUUUGGGGUGCACCAUCAACCGGUCUGAAUUUUGUGAUAGAUCUGAGUAAGAGCAUAUCUGUUGGGACCCGAAAGAUGGUGAACUAUGCCUGAAUAGGGUGAAGCCAGAGGAAACUCUGGUGGAGGCUCGCAGCGGUACUGACGUGCAAAUCGUUCGUCUAAUUUGGGUAUAGGGGCGAAAGACUAAUCGAACCAUCUAGUAGCUGGUUCCCUC
This 1649-nucleotide unclassified non-coding RNA is filed under the name uncultured fungus. RNAcentral describes it as "sequence contains 18S rRNA gene, ITS1, 5.8S rRNA gene, ITS2, 28S rRNA gene". The stretch from base 651 to 1649 matches the Rfam family "Eukaryotic large subunit ribosomal RNA", at positions 1 to 961 of the family's 3401-position model. The record is from RNAcentral. Lineage: Eukaryota; Fungi.